This 74-nucleotide transfer RNA is filed under the name Chlorokybus atmophyticus. Its description in RNAcentral is "tRNA-Ala (GGC) (tRNA-Ala-GGC-1-1)". It matches the Rfam family "tRNA". From Rfam's summary of the family: Transfer RNA (tRNA) molecules are approximately 80 nucleotides in length. Their secondary structure includes four short double-helical elements and three loops (D, anti-codon, and T loops). The record is from RNAcentral. Lineage: Eukaryota; Viridiplantae; Streptophyta; Chlorokybophyceae; Chlorokybales; Chlorokybaceae.
GGGGUUAUAACUCAGUUUGGUAGAGUAUCUCAAUGGCAUUGAGAAAGUCAGCGGUUCGAACCCGCUUAGCUCCA